Molecule: ribosomal RNA, 753 nt
Filed under: uncultured marine bacterium
Lineage: Bacteria
Description: bacterial SSU rRNA
Rfam family: Bacterial small subunit ribosomal RNA
Source: RNAcentral
GCAAGUCGAACGAAGUAGCAAUACUUAGUGGCAGACGGGUGAGUAACAUGUAGGUAUCUGCCCUUUGGCCCGGAAUAACACGAGGAAACUUGUGCUAAUACCGGAUAAGUCUUUACGGAGAAAGCUUUAUGCACCAUUGGAUGAGCCUGCACUUGAUUAGUUUGUUGGUGGGGUAAUGGCCUACCAAGACUGUGAUCAAUAGCUGAUUUGAGAGGAUGAUCAGCCACAUUGGGACUGAGACACGGCCCAAACUCCUACGGGAGGCAGCAGUGGGGAAUCUUGCACAAUGGAGGAAACUCUGAUGCAGCGAUGCCGCGUGAGUGAAGAAGGCCCUUGGGUUGUAAAGCUCUUUCGUCGGGGAAGAAAAUGACUGUACCCGAAUAAGAAGGUCCGGCUAACUUCGUGCCAGCAGCCGCGGUAAUACGAAGGGACCUAGCGUAGUUCGGAAUUACUGGGCUUAAAGAGUUCGUAGGUGGUUGAAAAAGUUAGUGGUGAAAUCCCAGAGCUUAACUCUGGAACUGCCAUUAAAACUUUUCAGCUAGAGUAUGAUAGAGGAAAGCAGAAUUUCUAGUGUAGAGGUGAAAUUCGUAGAUAUUAGAAAGAAUACCAAUUGCGAAGGCAGCUUUCUGGAUCAUUACUGACACUGAGGAACGAAAGCAUGGGUAGCGAAGAGGAUUAGAUACCCUCGUAGUCCACGCCGUAAACGAUGUGUGUUAGACGUUGGAAAUUUAUUUUCAGUGUCGCAGCGAAAAG